Molecule: ribosomal RNA, 200 nt
Filed under: uncultured bacterium
Lineage: Bacteria
Description: partial 16S ribosomal RNA
Rfam family: Bacterial small subunit ribosomal RNA
Source: RNAcentral
AGAGUUUGAUCAUGGCUCAGGACGAACGCUGGCGGCGUGCUUAAUACAUGCAAGUCGAACGGGGUCGAUUCGGUGGCAACACCGAUGAAAACCUAGUGGCGAACGGGUGAGUAACACGUGAGCAACCUACCCCGGAGACCGGGAUAACAGCAGGAAACCGCUGCUAAUACCGGAUGUCCCCAUAGAUCCGCAUGGAUCAU